Molecule: long non-coding RNA, 778 nt
Filed under: Ficedula albicollis (Collared flycatcher)
Lineage: Eukaryota; Metazoa; Chordata; Aves; Passeriformes; Muscicapidae
Description: lncRNA (ENSFALG00000028500.1)
Source: RNAcentral
CGUCAAUCUGGGACAGGGUGCGUGCACUGUUUCAGAUUUUCAAUAUUCAGCUCUGUGAACGCUGUAAAUGUAUUCUGCCUCACUAUGGGGAUGCCCCACCAUCUCACCUUGGGCACCUCCCAUGGCCAGCUCAGAUAUCCACCAGGCAUGUGAGUGGGCUCUCUGUACACACAGCAGAGGUGAGGGUAGCUCUGUGAUGCAUUUGCUGCCUGCUCAGAGGUACAAGCAGUAGCUGCCUGACUUAACUAUGAGAUCUGAGGAACUCCACAGGUUUGGCAAUCUCAGUUCACCUGGCAGCUUUUGCCCUCUUCCUUUCAGACUGCAGUGACCCUCUUUUGAGGCAGUGGGACAGCUCAGAUGAGGUGAAGGAUUAGGAUGGUAAACGUCACCAAGUCAAUGGUUCAGCCUGGGGAGGCAGUGAUCCAUGCAAAGCCAUCUUUAUGGGUCAAAGAUGUUCACCCCUUUGGAGAAGGUGGUGUGCAAUUUACAGGAUUUCAUCUGUACCAAGCAGGCUGGGAAUGUUUAUCUGGGGUCUCCAAUACUCCAAAUGCCACCUGUCAAAGGACUUAAUGGUUAAGGAGAGCAGUUUGUGGAGGCUUCUCUUCCUCAUCACCCAUCAACAGAUGGAGAAGUGGAGAGCCCCACAGCUGGAGCAGAUGUGGCUGGUUUUGGAGGUGAGUAGCAGACCAUACUAAGCAGCACCAUAAGAGAUAAAACAGCAGGUUUGUUGAUUUCUUGCAUUUUGCAAAACCCCUACUUUGCUGACAAGGCAACAGGA